UGGGGGAGGGGGCGGGGGACGCCGCUGAGGGGCCUGGUGGCGGCGGCCGUUCCUCGUCCUGACCGACACCUGCGCCGCCUUUGCAGGGACCGCCACGAAGGACGAAGACCCCAUCCGAGCGGGACCCGCCGGCGGGGGGGCUGCUCGUUACCAAGGCAACCGCUCCUUCUCGGCCCCCCAAACACGGCAGAGGGGCCAGGGCCGUGGAAACAACCGGAAGAGCGCCCUGCGGCCCCGCCUCGAGGCCCUUGGCGGGAAGAGGAGAAGACGAGCGGUGCCGGGACUGGACUGCGAUAACCGGGAGCACCUGGAACGUGAUGGGGCCCUCCGAGAAGCCCCUGCAGGGGUGGGGUGGGGAGAGGAGUCCACGGAGCGUGGCCCGGGCAGCACACGCGGCGGCUUCGCCCUUGCUGCCCCUGCUCGGCGGGGCGCCCCUUCUGGCUCUGGAACCGGUUCCCGGGACACGCAGGGAUGCUGUGGAGGACGCAAGGCCCGGCGGGUGGGCGCUUGGAGGCCCCCUCUCUGGGGCCCGCCCCGCCCCUCCGCGGCCACGCUCGGGCCCCGUGGAGCACGGGUGGAGCGCCGCCGAAGAAGCCCGGCCCGCUCGCUGCUCAGGCAGCUCUCGCAGGCGGCAGCGUCGUGGCUCCGGCGCGGGAUGGCGCCCGUGGCCGUCGCGUCCCAGCGCCGAGGACGGACGGAGCCCGCCCUCCUCUUCGCCCAUCAGCCGUGCCGUGGCCGCCAGAGCCACCCAAGAAAGGGCCACCGCGGUGGUGAGGAAGAAAACCCAUUUAUGAAUGUCGCAGAGAACAAAGCAAGAAGGAAACAUCACAGCGACGUGUGGCUGGUGAUUGGCUGGACUUGAGAGCCCGUGUAAGGACGCUUGGCAGAGGCAGGGUGAGAGCCGGGCCCCUGGCUCUCCGUUUCAAGACUGAGUCCUUUCCACUAGUCUCUGUGACCUCCCCACGGGUCAGCUGCACAGGCCGAGCUGGGGCCAUCACAGGGUGGGGUAUUGAGCCGGAAGUGUUGGAGGCCCAGCCCCACGGGACCAAGGAGGCCGGCCGGGGGAGUCCUCAAAUGGUUCCAGCCUGGCACUUUGUCACCCUGAGAUGUAGCAAACCCAGUGUGUGUUCCCCACUGAUUCUACUUCUCAGGACUCAGUUUGUGCCCAAAUGUCACUCUCUGGUCUUGGGCCUUUGGAACACCAAGCCUUUGGGAUGAUUCCCUCUGAGGCCCCAGUCGGGCCAGCUCUAGGGAGGGAGUAGAAGAUUUCCUCCUUACCCACUUGCGGGGAAGGUGCUGUCAUCUGGGGACAUCCCCCACCCCAGGCCCUUGAGUUUUCACUGAAUUUUCAUCACUGCUGUUGUCACCACUGUCUCUGUCUUCACUGAGCACCUGCCGAUGGGUGUUUGCAGACAUGACUCAACCAUCGCACAGGGAUCGGUAGGGUGCCCGCUGUGUGCCUGGCACUGUUCGAAGGGCUAGAGAUACAGCAAGGGACGGGGCAGUCAAAGGCCUUGUGGUAAAAAGUUCACCUUCUCAGCGGGUGACAGAUAGCAGAGGGAUGAACAGAUAUAUGGUGUCCUCUCAGGUGGAGAGUUAGUCUUAGCAAGGAAAAGGAAGCAGAGGGGCUUGGAGCGUGACGGAUGCUUGAGGUGCUACUCCAGGCAAGGUGUUCCCAGCAGUGAAGGAGGAAGGGGCAGGUGGGAACAUGCUGGGUCUGUCUGGGGAACGAUGAUGGAGUCGGUCUCAGGGUCAGGGGGUAGUGCUUGUUCUCCCGUACAGGUGAGGGAGCGG
RNAcentral lists this long non-coding RNA (1794 nucleotides) under Felis catus (domestic cat). RNAcentral's name for it is "lncRNA (ENSFCAG00000053577.1)". Lineage: Eukaryota; Metazoa; Chordata; Mammalia; Carnivora; Felidae. The record is from RNAcentral.